Macrobrachium nipponense is the source of this 623-nucleotide long non-coding RNA. RefSeq lists it as uncharacterized. The transcript is spliced from 3 exons. The record is from RefSeq and is a predicted model, not a curated record. NCBI's taxonomy places the organism in Eukaryota, Metazoa, Arthropoda, Malacostraca, Decapoda, Palaemonidae.
GUUUCGAGGUAUUUUAUUUUAUCGUCGACCAGCGAUCGUCACGUAUCUAUUUUUCUUGUGAUAGUCCUAUACUCAUAUUUGCAGUUUUAUCAGAAGGUGUGCGCGAGUUUGCAUACUUGGUUCGAUAUCAACUUUGGUGAUGGCACCUACUAGUGAUGGCUAUUCAACCACAGAAUUGCUUUAUCCAUUUGGAAGAUGGACUCCUGACUAAUUUCUUUCCCGCAUCAGUCUUCAAAAGGGUUAUUUGAUGGUACUGGAGUGAUCUGGUUACUGAAACUAGUAAAAUAAAUUUUCAUAUCCAAACUAAUGGAGUCUUAACCUUGUGGCUGAAAGCAUAUGCAGUUGAAGCUGGUUCCUGGACUAGGAGCAACUAUUGGAGUUCUUAACCCUGCGGCAGUGUAUGCAGUCGUGUAAGGCGCUGGUUCCAGAGCUGGGGGAAGCUAUUGGAUUCUUAACCCUGCACCUGGAAGCAUUUGUAGUUGGAGCUGGUUCCUUGACAGGGAGCAACUAUUGCGGCAUUUUACUUACGCAGUUAUGAAGACACUGGGCUUCUAAUGCUGUUGUCGAUAUACCUUAGGUCUUUCAAAGCUCUUGGUUAUAAUAACAUAUGGUCUUAAAAUUUG